GACGUGAUCGCAUGGUCGUGUUUGGAAAGAUUUUUCGGUCUGGGAUGGGCUCGCGGCCUAUCAGCUUGUUGGUGAGGUAAUGGCUCACCAAGGCGUCGACGGGUAGCCGGCCUGAGAGGGUGACCGGCCACACUGGGACUGAGACACGGCCCAGACUCCUACGGGAGGCAGCAGUGGGGAAUAUUGCACAAUGGGCGAAAGCCUGAUGCAGCAACGCCGCGUGAGGGAUGACGGCCUUCGGGUUGUAAACCUCUUUUAGCAGGGAAGAAGCGAAAGUGACGGUACCUGCAGAAAAAGCGCCGGCUAACUACGUGCCAGCAGCCGCGGUAAUACGUAGGGCGCAAGCGUUAUCCGGAAUUAUUGGGCGUAAAGAGCUCGUAGGCGGUUUGUCGCGUCUGCUGUGAAAUCCCGAGGCUCAACCUCGGGCCUGCAGUGGGUACGGGCAGACUAGAGUGCGGUAGGGGAGAUUGGAAUUCCUGGUGUAGCGGUGGAAUGCGCAGAUAUCAGGAGGAACACCGAUGGCGAAGGCAGAUCUCUGGGCCGUAACUGACGCUGAGGAGCGAAAGGGUGGGGAGCAAACAGGCUUAGAUACCCUGGUAGUCCACCCCGUAAACGUUGGGAACUAGUUGUGGGGACCAUUCC
Molecule: ribosomal RNA, 642 nt
Filed under: Microbacterium aurantiacum
Lineage: Bacteria; Bacillati; Actinomycetota; Actinomycetes; Micrococcales; Microbacteriaceae
Description: partial 16S ribosomal RNA
Rfam family: Bacterial small subunit ribosomal RNA
Source: RNAcentral